Long non-coding RNA from Tupaia belangeri chinensis (Chinese tree shrew), 239 nucleotides. RefSeq lists it as uncharacterized. The transcript is spliced from 3 exons. The record is from RefSeq and is a predicted model, not a curated record. Lineage: Eukaryota; Metazoa; Chordata; Mammalia; Scandentia; Tupaiidae.
AAAGAGGUUUACGCACUUCUCAGAGGAGGUGAGAAAGAAAGUGGUCACUCCAGUUACCAGGCUCAUGAGCGAGUGAGGGAGCUCGCUGUGCCCUUCUCAGGAGAGAGACUGCAGAAGGCCUAUUGUGGAGAAAAUGGAGGAGGACUGGUGGAGUAACCACCCUGCCCUCUUAGUGGGGUGAGCUUUCUCUCUUCAGAUUUCGAUUACAGAUCUUAGGAGCUGUGCUGAGACACCCCCAC